RNAcentral lists this ribosomal RNA (339 nucleotides) under Hippodamia falcigera. RNAcentral's name for it is "partial large subunit ribosomal RNA". The record is from RNAcentral. Lineage: Eukaryota; Metazoa; Arthropoda; Insecta; Coleoptera; Coccinellidae.
UGAGUAUAAUUUAAAGUAGGGCCUGCCCACUGAUUUAUUGAAGGGCCGCAGUAUUUUGACUGUGCAAAGGUAGCAUAAUCAUUAGUUUUUUAAUUGAAAACUUGUAUGAAUGGUUUGAUGAGAAAACAACUUUCUUUAUUUAAAUUUUAAAAAAAUUUAUUUUUAAGUUAAAAAGCUUAAAUAUUUUUAAUAGACGAGAAGACCCUAUAGAGUUUAAUUUUUAUGAAUAAUUAAAUUUUUAGAAUUAAUAAAUUUUAUUAUUAUAAAAAAUUUAGUUGGGGUGAUUAAAAAAUUAAAAUAACUUUUAUUUAUUUUUAACAUUAAUUAAUGAAUAUAAUC